CGAAAGGGGUGCUAAUACCGGAUAAGCCCACGGGGUCCUCGGACCMWRCAGGAAAAGGUGGCCUCUAUUUAUAAGCUACCGUAUCAGGAUGGGUCCGCGUACCAUUAGCUAGUUGGUGGGGUAAUGGCCCACCAAGGCGACGAUGGUUAGCUGGUCYGAGAGGAUGAUCAGCCACACUGGAACUGAGACACGGUCCAGACUCCUACGGGAGGCAGCAGUGGGGAAUUUUGCGCAAUGGGGGAAACCCUGACGCAGCAACGCCGCGUGAGUGAUGAAGGCUUUCGGGUCGUAAAGCUCYGUCAGAGGGGAAGAAAUGAGCCUGGCUAAUAUCCAGGUUUCUUGACGGUACCCUCAAAGGAAGCACCGGCUAACUCCGUGCCAGCAGCCGCGGUAAUACAAG
RNAcentral lists this ribosomal RNA (400 nucleotides) under uncultured Geobacteraceae bacterium. Its description in RNAcentral is "bacterial SSU rRNA". It matches the Rfam family "Bacterial small subunit ribosomal RNA", at positions 152 to 529 of the family's 1533-position model. The record is from RNAcentral. Lineage: Bacteria; Pseudomonadati; Thermodesulfobacteriota; Desulfuromonadia; Geobacterales; Geobacteraceae.